This 466-nucleotide ribosomal RNA is filed under the name uncultured bacterium. Its description in RNAcentral is "partial 16S ribosomal RNA". It matches the Rfam family "Bacterial small subunit ribosomal RNA", at positions 28 to 507 of the family's 1533-position model. The record is from RNAcentral.
GAUGAACGCUGGCGGCGUGCUUAACACAUGCAAGUCGAACGGAAAGGCUCCUGCUUGCAGGGGUACUCGAGUGGCGAACGGGUGAGUAACACGUGGGUGAUCUGCCCUGCACUUCGGGAUAAGCCCGGGAAACUGGGUCUAAUACCGGAUAGGACGAUGGUUUGGAUGCCAUUGUGGAAAGUUUUUUCGGUGUGGGAUGAGCUCGCGGCCUAUCAGCUUGUUGGUGGGGUAAUGGCCUACCAAGGCGUCGACGGGUAGCCGGCCUGGGAGGGUGUACGGCCACAUUGGGACUGAGAUACGGCCCAGACUCCUACGGGAGGCAGCAGUGGGGAAUAUUGCACAAUGGGCGCAAGCCUGAUGCAGCGACGCCGCGUGGGGGAUGACGGCCUUCGGGUUGUAAACUCCUUUCGCUAGGGACGAAGCGCAAGUGACGGUACCUGGAGAAGAAGCACCGGCUAACUACGUG